Molecule: non-coding RNA, 115 nt
Organism: Daucus carota subsp. sativus
Lineage: Eukaryota; Viridiplantae; Streptophyta; Magnoliopsida; Apiales; Apiaceae
Source: Rfam
UAACCAUGAUGUGGACAUUUUCUCAACAAUGCCUUAUAUCUCUCCCAUGCUUGAUACAAGCCUUCACCUGGUUGUGCUUUGAAAGUAAGAAUAAUUGCUCUCAUUUGCUGAGUCU